UCCGGUUGAUCCUGCCGGACCCGACUGCUAUUUGGGUGAGAGUAAGCCAUGCGAGUUGUAUGGGAUACCUAAAUUUCCCAUGGCAAACUGCUCAGUAACACAUGAUCAACUUACCCUAUAGAGGAAAACAACCUCGGGAAACUGAGGAUAAUGUUCCAUAGUUGAAUCGGCUUGGAAAAGUUUUUCAACAAAAGGGAUAAGAAAAAUGGUUCUUAUCUGCUAUAGGAUAGGAUCGUGCUCGAUUAUGGUUGUUGGUGAGGUAACGGCUCACCAAGCCGAUAAUCGAUAGGGGCCGUGAGAGCGGGAGCCCCGAGAUGGGUACUGAGACAACGACCCAGGCCUUACGAGGCGCAGCAGGCGCGAAACCUCCGCAAUACACGAAAGUGUGACGGGGUUACCCAAAGUGUUCUAUUUAGAACUGUGGUAGGUGAGUAAUGUCCCCUACUAGAAAGGAGAGGGCAAGGCUGGUGCCAGCCGCCGCGGUAAAACCAGCUCUUCAAGUGGUCGGGAUAAUUAUUGGGCUUAAAGUGUCCGUAGCCGGUUUAGUAAGUUCCUGGUAAAAUCGGGUAGCUUAACUAUCUGCAUGCUAGGAAUACUGCUAUACUAGAGGGCGGGAGAGGUCUGAGGUACUAUAGGGGUAGGGGUGGAAUCUUAUAAUCCUUGUAGGACCACCAGUGGCGAAGGCGUCAGACUGGAACGCGCCUGACGGUGAGGGACGAAAGCCAGGGGAGCGAACCGGAUUAGAUACCCGGGUAGUCCUGGCCGUAAACGAUGCAUACUAGGUGAUGGUACGGCCAUGAGCCGUGUCAGUGCCGUAGGGAAACCGUUAAGUGUGCCGCCUGGGAAGUACGGUCGCAAGGCUAAAACUUAAAGGAAUUGGCGGGGGAGCACCACAAGGGGUGAAGCCUGCGGUUCAAUUGGAUUCAACGCCGGG
RNAcentral lists this ribosomal RNA (934 nucleotides) under uncultured archaeon. RNAcentral describes it as "bacterial SSU rRNA". It matches the Rfam family "Archaeal small subunit ribosomal RNA", at positions 1 to 922 of the family's 1478-position model. The record is from RNAcentral.